UUGUGCAUCUACUUCAUCAACUGUCAUAUUAACCACUUCUUCAAUAAGUUGUCUGGUCUCACCAACAUCAUUUACUGAUGUCACAUUCUCAUCAGUAGUACCUUCAAUAUGUUCUUCCACUUCCUUGCUCUCUUCCACAUCUCCAACAACAGCAACCCCUGGCCCUGAGACAUUGACUUCAAUGGCAUCCACAACUGCAUCUCCUUCGGAAGUAAAUUUCUCACCAUCUGUUUCAGCCAACAAAGAUUCUGACGGUUGUUCAACAACCACCUUAUUGAGUUUUUCGGCAUCAUCACUAUGUAUAGCUCUCUCUUCAAUGACCGAGGUAGGUUCCUCGGCCUCCUUCAAAUUGGAUGAAGCAAUAGCACUCUCUUCAAUGACCGAGGUAGGUUCCUCAACCUCCUUCAAAUUGGAUGAAGCAAUAGCACUCUCUUCAAUGACCGAGGUAGGUUCCUCAACCUCCUUCAAAUUGGAUGAAGCAAUAGCACUCUCUUCAAUGACCGAGGUAGGUUCCUCAACCUCCUUCAAAUUGGAUGAAGCAAUAGCACUCUCUUCAAUGACCGAGGUAGGUUCCUCAACCUCCUUCAAAUAGGUUCCUCGGCCUCCUUCAAAUUGGAUGAAGCAAUAGCACUCUCUUCAAUGACCGAGGUAGGUUCCUCAACCUCCUUCAAAUUGGAUGAAGCAAUAGCACUCUCUUCAAUGACCGAGGUAGGUUCCUCAGCCUCCUUCAAAUUAGAUGAAGCAACACUAGUUAAAGCUUCAUUCUUUUCAUCCUCCACAAUCUCCUUCACCUCCUCCUGAAUGGACCUAUCCUCACCCCCUUGCAAUUCCAUCUUUUCAUCCUCCACAGUCUCCUUCAC
Molecule: long non-coding RNA, 860 nt
Filed under: Solanum tuberosum (potato)
Lineage: Eukaryota; Viridiplantae; Streptophyta; Magnoliopsida; Solanales; Solanaceae
Description: long non-coding RNA (STUB_LNC009349)
Source: RNAcentral